Molecule: long non-coding RNA, 1202 nt
Organism: Solea solea (common sole)
Lineage: Eukaryota; Metazoa; Chordata; Actinopteri; Pleuronectiformes; Soleidae
Exons: 3
Source: RefSeq, a predicted model, not a curated record
AUCAACCCCACGUCUUCACCAAAGCAGCCUGAGCAGAUUAUGUCUGGACGGAUCUGAUAUGAGAUUAAACAAAAAUCUUCAGAAGCCUCAGGAUUUCAGGACCAGGGGUUCCUGGCAUGAGGUUCCGUGGCUUUCCGGUCACUUUUCAGGGUAUUAACGUGCAUCAAAACUCACAGAGGAGCGGUGGCAAACCGGCGAACCAGCACAAGUACAAAAUAGCCUCGUUUGACAGCAGUUCCUCGGCCGUCCCGGGCGUUUCCACUGGGGAAUCUCUUCACACAAGUCCCCUCAUCCAUUUCCAGUGGUUUUUACCCAUGAAAUGAAAAAAGGGGAAAGAAAAGAAAACACAGACGGUCCCCAGGAGAAAACUCUCUCGGCCCCUGAGAGCAACAAAUCUCCAUUUUUGUGAGUGAGGGAGCGUUUGUUUGUACGCAGCAGCAGCAGCAGCAGCACAGAGGUGGGCGGGGACAAGGUCUACUCACGCGUCAGGAUCCCACGUCACCACCAGGUGGCGGUACAAGUCUAGACGCUGGGAAUAGGACGCAUUCCCACCAAAGAAGAAUAGGAUGAUGCUACAGCUCCCUCGGACCGAGGGUCGCCAGGUCGAGGCUCGGAUGGUUAUCCUUGGCGACGACUUAUUCUUUUUUCUGUUGGUGAGCAGGGCUUAAUACUCCACCUACUGGUAGGGGUGGAAGUUCACUUCGCACAUGCGAAAAUCGCCAAAAUCGGAGCGCCGUGCGUUCAUGACGCAAACAGCUUCAUGCGCACGACGGGCGUUGCGUCUGAGGCCAGUUUUACGUUGUAUGACGCUAUAUGACGCCAGUUUUACGUUCCAUUUGCGUCCGAACUCAAAACUCAGGAAACUCGUUGGAACCUGGGAGCAAACGUGUCUCUGGCUAGCCAUUUCCUGCCAGCGUAAAAACUGGAGUUGUUGGGGAAACAAACACAAUCUAGCGACCUGGUGCCGUGUAAAAUGUUGUGACUGGUUUACGUUGACUGUGCAUCAUGCUUCGCUCAUCUCAGACGACGUAAAUACAAAACAUUCGCGUGGACCAACGCCAACGACGAAAUUUAUGUCACGCGUAAACUAGGAUCCAAGAGUCUGAUCCUCUUUGGCGUGACAGAUCAGACAGAACAGCAUUUAUAUCUAUUUCUCAUGCAAAGGAAAUAGUUUGAAGAUAAAGUACCUGAUCAGAAACCAC